Molecule: transfer RNA, 96 nt
Filed under: Actinomycetota bacterium
Lineage: Bacteria; Bacillati; Actinomycetota
Description: Actinobacteria bacterium tRNA-Sec
Rfam family: Selenocysteine transfer RNA
Source: RNAcentral
GGGGGCGUACGAGUACCUGGUGGGCUCCGCUGUCUUCAACACAGUCGGAACGGGCGAUCCCCGUUCGGCGGGUUCGAUUCCCGUCCGCCUCCGCCA